Molecule: long non-coding RNA, 3085 nt
Organism: Bos grunniens (domestic yak)
Lineage: Eukaryota; Metazoa; Chordata; Mammalia; Artiodactyla; Bovidae
Source: Ensembl
CAACAUGGGCCUGGCAGGGAGGAGGUGUCUGUGAAAGAGUGCUUAGCAGUUUGGAUGUGGGCCCUGGUCGUCAGGCUCAAGAGAUUCCCAGUGGCCGUCAGUUUACCUGCCGAGAAAUCUGGAAGAGUCCUUCCUAUGCAGUGGCCGCCCACACUGUACUCUCCUGCUUCCCUGGUGCUCAGAUUGACAGGGUUUUCUGCCUUUGAUUGGCUCCCAAAAUGAGAGGUAAAUCGGUUAGGACAUAAUAAAUGCUGAAUGCUGGAGGGCCAAAUGCAGGGCCCCAACCUAAGUAGCUGAGAGGGCUGCCCAGAUGCUCUCUUGGGGCCUGCCUCUAGGGAAGGAAGCAGAAUUCUGGCUUCGGGUGGAUAAAAGGAAGAAUACACCCCGCCCCCGCCCCCGUCUCCUGCUGUGGUCUGCUGGCCAGGAGGGCCUUAUCUGUGCUCCCCCUGGCCUUGGCCUGCCAUGGUGUGGCUGGCGGGGGGUAUGGGAGGGAGAUCGUGCACACGGUGUAUUUGCAAUGAUCCUCCCCAGUGACGUGGCCUCUGAACCAUUUAAUCAACACUCAGCGCAGCUUCAAUCAACACACGACAAUAUUUUUACCCAGCCCACAUAUUACAGAAAUCAAUGCGGCUCUCCCAGGAGAGGAUUGCACGUGUUUCUGAAAGAUCUAAAGUGUCUUCUCUUGGAACUGCUAUUCGACGUGGAGGUUUGCAGGACAUACGUUUUUAAGCGAAUUGUUGGCUCCUGGUGACUUCUCUUUUCUUCCUGAAACGUUCACAAAUGACUAAUCACAAACCACAGUGAGCAGCCUACCCGCUGGGUAUGGUUAUGGACUCUACAUACCUUAGGUCAUUUGCUCCCCCAAAUAACCUUAUAAGGAAGGUACUAUUACCAUCUCCAACUUAUAGGUAAGGAAGCAGUCUCAGAGACGUGAAGUAAUUUGCCUAAGGCCACACAGCUUGCAGGGGGCAGAACCCUGCUUAAAGUCCGGGUCUAUUUGCUUCCGGGGCCGAUCUUGGCUUCCCCACUUUACUGCCAGUGUAUCACGUCUGCUGAAUAAUGUGCUGAGGAAUUUUGCCAAGGAUUGGCACCAAUCUUAUGCCCCUGCACCACUGCUAUCCUGUUAGGCCUACUUGGCACAGUGGUCCAGGCUCCUUCGUGGGGUCUCUUUUUCACCAGCUCCAGAGAAUUUACUCAAUGGGUCACCUGUGCUUCUCCACCCUUGUGAAUUUCCUUAAUGGAGCUUUGUGGAGUGGGAAUUCAUAGGAACUGCAGCAGCAGAUGUGAGCCAACCACGGACAACCAAGGCUGUUCAUGUGGUUGUCCUUGGGAGGACUUGGGUACAGUGUUGCAAAGAGUAAUGAUUAAAGGCAGAGAGAUUAAGAGUAAAGAUUAAGGAUGAGACCACUAGGAUUUCAACCAGGUUCCAUGCCUUCCUGCUGUAUUACCUUGGACAAGUUACUUAACCUCUCUGGACCUCAGUCUUCACAUCUGUAAAGUGGGGAGAAUAACUGAGCCCACGUGUGGAACACUCAGUAAAUUUACCAUUCCUUAUUAGUAUGGCCAUUCCAACCUCAUUUGUUAGACUUUAGUUCCCUGGAUCCUCCUCUCUCGCCCCAGUUUCCUCCAUUAGUCCUCCUCAGAUGGAGCAGUUCAGGUCCUUGGCUGGGCAGGGCAAUGCCGUGGCUGGAAGGAUCAACAGUUUUGGUACCCAUCCUUGCGGCUUCCAGUGUAGGGUUUAAUGGAGCAGCCAGGUCCGGAGAGGGGGAACCGGGGCCUGGCUCUGUCCUGUCUCCCACUCUGCCCACUCCUUUCCAUCAGCCCCCGAGGAGACACCGGUUCCCUGGUCCCUCCUGGAGGAGAGUAGCUCCAGACACACCCCUCCCUCACCCUGUGACAGCUCAGUGUUUCUGUGUUUCUGGGCCUCUCCUAGGGAGACACUGUCUUUAUGCCCUGUGUCCUUAUGUAGAUCAGGGGCUCUCCUGAGAAGGGACCAUGUGUCCUCCUUCAGACCAGUGCCCACCUGCCCCUACCUUGGCUACAUCUCCUCCUUCAGCCUGGGGCCCCCAAUAAUGGGUGUCUUUCCCCUCCGCUGGAACAGGGGUGAGGCUGCUCUGUUCUGACUGUUGCCUUGUCCCUCUCAGAAUAGGGGUGCCCAGAGAGUUGUGCCUCUCCAGACCAGGGCCCUCUGCAGACAUGAGUAGGGUCUCCCCAUCAGGAAGCUCCGUGGGAGUCAGAAAUGUGUCUCUCCCUUUACUUUGGGGAUGCUCAGAGUAGAGCCUGUCUCUUCCCUCUCAGUCUGGGGCUCUCCAGGGACAAGGGUUGUGAUUUCCUGCUCAGAUUGGGGCUUUCUGGGUCAAGUUGUGUCUCCUCCUCCAGCGGGUCUCUCCUGGAUAGGUCUGACUCUUCCUUCAGUAUUACCUUGGACAAGUUACUUAACCUCUCUGGACCUCAGUCUUCACAUCUGUAAAGUGGGAGAAUAACUGAGCCCACGUGGAACACUCAGUAAAUUUACCAUUCCUUAUUAGUAUGGCCAUUCCAACCUCAUUUGUUAGACUUUAGUUCCCUGGAUCCUCCUCUCUCGCCCCAGUUUCCUCCAUUAGUCCUCCUCAGAUGGAGCAGUUCAGGUCCUUGGCUGGGCAGGGCAAUGCCGUGGCUGGAAGGAUCAACAGUUUUGGUACCCAUCCUUGCGGCUUCCAGUGUAGGGUUUAAUGGAGCAGCCAGGUCCGGAGAGGGGGAACCGGGGCCUGGCUCUGUCCUGUCUCCCACUCUGCCCACUCCUUUCCAUCAGCCCCCGAGGAGACACCGGUUCCCUGGUCCCUCCUGGAGGAGAGUAGCUCCAGACACACCCCUCCCUCACCCUGUGACAGCUCAGUGUUUCUGUGUUUCUGGGCCUCUCCUAGGGAGACACUGUCUUUAUGCCCUGUGUCCUUAUGUAGAUCAGGGGCUCUCCUGAGAAGGGACCAUGUGUCCUCCUUCAGACCAGUGCCCACCUGCCCCUACCUUGGCUACAUCUCCUCCUUCAGCCUGGGGCCCCCAAUAAUGGGUGUCUUUCCCCUCCGCUGGAACAGGGGUGAGGCUGCUC